Molecule: non-coding RNA, 53 nt
Filed under: Pluralibacter gergoviae
Lineage: Bacteria; Pseudomonadati; Pseudomonadota; Gammaproteobacteria; Enterobacterales; Enterobacteriaceae
Description: Xanthine-I sequence
Rfam family: Xanthine riboswitch aptamer (NMT1 RNA)
About the family: Later it was reported as a ncRNA that recognised Xanthine.
Source: Rfam by way of RNAcentral
UCAGUGAGUAGAAGCUGUCAGCCGGCACAUUCCGGUGGGUCAUUGCUCUGCCG